Musa acuminata AAA Group (dessert banana) is the source of this 2382-nucleotide long non-coding RNA. RefSeq lists it as uncharacterized. The record is from RefSeq and is a predicted model, not a curated record. Lineage: Eukaryota; Viridiplantae; Streptophyta; Magnoliopsida; Zingiberales; Musaceae. The transcript has 2 exons.
GCGGCGUCAAGAUUCGGGUUGGACGUGAUCUGUGUGGGCGUUAAAUUGAGCGUCUUGCAUUGAUUUGGGCCUUUUUACUUCCAGGCUGAGAUUACAAGAAGCCCAAAUGAUGAGUGUCCUCGCCAUUCUUGUUCGGUGUUUCUCAUGUGUCGCGCGAUCCCCUCUUCUCCGAGAAAGCUCUCGUCGAUGGCAGGCUCCCACGGACCCGACAAGGCCGCUCCUCCUUCCCGCCACGGCGGAUGCAUCGAGGCCAGGGCCGUGGCUCCGGUGGAAGCUUUGGGAACCCUGGGUUAGGGUUUAUGUAGAUCUAUGGGGUCAGGAUACGAUGGCACCGAUGGAUCCGACGAGGUCUCUGCGCCUCCUCGCGGCGGCGAAUAAAGUCGAGGCCCUGGCGGUAGUUACGGUGGAAACUAGGAAUCGAGGCUCUUAGUUCUUCUGCUUCCCUUUUCUUCUGAACGCCCUGGUUCCUUUUUUUUUUUUUUUUUUUUUUUUUCAUUUUCUUGAUCUGGGGUUAUGGUUUGUGUAGAUCUAGGGGUCAGAUUCGUACGAUUUCGACGGACCUGACGAGGCCGCUCCGCCUCCCCGCGGUGGCGAAUACAGCCGAGGACGGGCUGAUGGUUACGGUUGAAACUAGGGAUCGAGGCUCUUAGUUCUUCUGCUUCGUUUUUCUUUUGCGCGUUCUCGUUCUUCGUUUCUCCUUUCUUGAUCUAGGGUUAGGCUUUGUAUGGAUCCAAAGGUCAGGUUCCUACGGCUCCGAUGGACCUGAUAAGGACGUUUCGCCUCCGCGCGGCGGCGAAUACAGCCGACGACGGGCCGCUGGUUACCAUGGAAACUCCAUGAAUCCUGGUUCUUGGUUCUUUUCUUUUCAACGUUCUUGUCGUUCUUUUUUUCCUUUUCUUGUCAAGCAUUUAUGUUUGUGUAUAUCUAGGGUUUGGUUCUUGGGGCGGUCUUGAUAUAGGUGGUGGCGAUGGAUAUGGGGGCGGUGAGAUCUCAGUGGGGAAACAGGGGAGGUGGUGACCGCAGUGGAGGAGAUGGUUGGGAAGGCGAUUAGCACUGCCCCACCCGAGGACGGGCUGGUGGUUACCAUGGAAACUCCAUGAAUCCUGGUUCUUGGUUCUUUUCUUUUUUUUCUUUUCAAUGUUCUUGUCGUUCUAUUUUUCCUUUUCUUGUCAAGCAUUUAUGUUUGUGUAUAUCUAGGGUUUGGUUCUUGGCACAGUCUUGAUAUAGGUGGUGGCGAUGGAUACGGGGGCGGUGAGAUCUCAGUGGGGAAACAGGGGAGGUGGUAGGGGAUACCGAGGUGGUUACCGCGGUGGAGAUGGUUGGGAAGGCAAUUAGCACUGCCCCAUCCGAGGACGGGCCGGUGGUUACCAUGGAAACUCCAUGAAUCCUGGUUCUUGGUUCUUUUCUUUUUGUUUUUUCAACGUUAUUGUCGUUCUAUUUUUCCUUUUCUUGUCAAGCAUUUAUGUUUGUGUAUAUCUAGGGUUUGGUUCUUGGCGCAGUCUUGAUAUAGGUGGUGGCGAUGGAUAUGGGGGCAGUGAGAUCUCAGUGGGGAAACUGGGGAGGUGGUAGGGGAUACCUAGGUGGUGACCGCAGCGGAGGAGAUGGUUGGGAAAGUGAUUAGCACUGCCCUACCCUAGGUCUAAGCAUGGCCGUGGAAAUCUAGAUUUUUCGCAGAUUGGAGUGCAACAAGUGUGGUGCAUUUUGAACCCAGUGCUGGCACUGGGAAUGGUGGCGGUGGAAGUGACAGCGAGAAAGGAGUUAUGCCGGAACUGUGGUGGUAGGAACGAUGAUUACAGGGGAAGAGAUGCUUGAUAUGCUGGACGAGGUGAAUCUUAAAAUAAUAAUCAGGAGGAUAAGGGCUGUUAUGGCCAUGUUUUUUCCACCAGCUCCAGCUGCAUAUGGUAGUCUUGUAGGAAAAUUCCCCUCCCGUUUCCUAGUCCAUGUUGUGAAUUGUUUUUUUCUGUCCGCCUUCCAGUCGCUAUGGUCGCCCCAGUUCUUACCCUUCUCCGUAUGGAUCUCCUCCUCCAAACAGAUAUGGAAGUGAAUGUCUAGUAGCCCAUGGUGGACUAUCGUACAGCUAGAGGGGGCAUGGUGACCAUAUGAACCGUAGCCAUGAUAGUGUUGCUCCACCUCAUGGUGGAGGUGGUGCCCCUGUUGCUCCUGCUGUAGUUAAGCUAUAUGAUGACAAUUGCAGAGAAUUUUGUGAUAAAUAGUACUUACAUCUCAAACAGAUCUUUUGUAAUGGUAUGCACAGGUAUUAGUUAUUUUCUAUUUUAGUUUGCUUUGGUCUUUUUGUUCGCUGAGAUAGAGUGGUUAAUUAGGUCAUGUAACAGGACAAUGGUGCCUCUUUUUUGGAAAUAAAAUGUUGUUAUUUUGUAGUUA